Long non-coding RNA from Vespula pensylvanica (western yellowjacket), 911 nucleotides. RefSeq lists it as uncharacterized. NCBI's taxonomy places the organism in Eukaryota, Metazoa, Arthropoda, Insecta, Hymenoptera, Vespidae. The transcript is spliced from 2 exons. The record is from RefSeq and is a predicted model, not a curated record.
ACGUUUGAUUAUAGAAACUAUGUUAAUGUUUCGAAAAACAUUAAAUACAAGAAUCGUCGUUCCUAAUUUUUUGUUUUGUUUUUUUUUUUUUUUUUUGUAAAUUCGUGUACGGUAUUUAGAACGAACGACAUGUAGGAUUUUCGACAGGAUCAAAAUUUAAGACGUACUUACGUAAACGCCGAAUCGUUAUUUUCCUUCUUAAGCUCACAUUCGCAUCACGUUUUUCUCUUGUUUGUUGCUUUUAUAUCGUUGACAAUGAAAUACUUGUUUUACGUCGAACGAAAUGCAUCGAAAACUAUAUUUAUCUGGGUUUUGGUCGAUAUCAGUGCAGAAACUUCUCGAAUUACAAUGCUUGUGUUGGUGGGAUUGGGGGAGGGGGGGAUAUCGAUCCUUACCAACGAGGUGGAUUAAGAGAGAAAAAGAGAGUAUCUAAAAUGAAACCGUUGAAAAAGGAAAAAAGAAAAACAAAGAACUAAAAACAUACAAUUACACGUAAAAUUAUGGCUUCGCCGUGCAACCCAUACUACAUACUCAACUCGAGUUGAGUUAUGAACCAAUAUCCUUGGAUGUAAGUGGAUAUCGUAUAUGGUCGUAGUAUUAUAUGUACAACAUGGACUGUGCUUGGCACGAUCUUAAUGACUCUUAAUCUCAAGGACCAACGGCGAUAUCGAGAAACGCAAUACUAAAGUGCAAUACGGCGAGUUGAUAUAUUUAUAAUAUAUUUCUUCGUAGCAUUCUGGCUUAUAAAAAAAUAUUUUUUAUCGAGAUACGAGUUAAGAAGAUUAGAAAUGUAAGUUUGAACUUAUGAAUUGGGUUGAUACAAUCUCAUGAUUUGAUGCAAUGCACAAAUUACAAUCGCAAUCUUGUACGCAUUCCAUAAUAAAUUUCUCGUAUUAGUUUCUUUUCUCGGA